RNAcentral lists this ribosomal RNA (464 nucleotides) under uncultured Pseudomonadota bacterium. RNAcentral describes it as "bacterial SSU rRNA". It matches the Rfam family "Bacterial small subunit ribosomal RNA", at positions 29 to 505 of the family's 1533-position model. The record is from RNAcentral. Lineage: Bacteria; Pseudomonadati; Pseudomonadota.
AGUGAACGCUGGCGGCGUGCCUAAGACAUGCAAGUCGUACGAGAAAGUACCUUCGGGUACGAGUACAGUGGCGCACGGGUGAGUAACACUUGGGUAACUUACCUUUCAGAGGGGGACAACUAGAGGAAACUCUAGCUAAUACCGCGUACGUCCAUUAGAUCUUCGGAGAAGAUGGAGAAAGCCUUACGGCGCUGAAAGAGAGGCCCGAGUCUGAUUAGCUUGUUGGUGAGGUAAAAGCUCACCAAGGCAACGAUCGGUAGCUGGUCUGAGAGGAUGAUCAGCCACACUGGUACUGGAACACGGACCAGACUCCUACGGGAGGCAGCAGUUAGGAAUUUUGCGCAAUGGGGGAAACCCUGACGCAGCAACGCCGCGUGUGUGAGGAAGGCCUUCGGGUUGUAAAGCACUUUCAGCAGGGAAGAAACAAAUGACGGUACCUGUAGAAGAAGCACCGGCUAACUCCG